This is a long non-coding RNA of Xiphophorus hellerii (green swordtail), 734 nucleotides long. RefSeq lists it as uncharacterized. The record is from RefSeq and is a predicted model, not a curated record. NCBI's taxonomy places the organism in Eukaryota, Metazoa, Chordata, Actinopteri, Cyprinodontiformes, Poeciliidae. The transcript is spliced from 3 exons.
GCUCAUCAGAAUGGCUUUUAGUUCCACUGGAGACGCUGCAGCGAAACAGGAAGGGAGAAGUUCGAUGCUGUUUUUCAAGAUGUAUUCGGAUUCAACCUGCAGUGACAGACUCGCAGUGUGCGCUGUUGACCACAACAAGCAGCGCCAUUCCUCGUCACUCCUCACGCAGCUCCAGGCGAUUUCUCCAAGACGCUCUCCCAGGAAACCCUGAAGGUGAAACUGUCCAACAGACGGUCCGGGUUGCUCAGCUCAAACUCCAUCAGGAACUUUGGUGUUUCUGCACCAACAACCCAUAAAGCAGUGGUGUCCAAACGGUUUGCAACAUGGGUCAAAUUCCCACAGUUGAAAGUACUUGGGAGUGGCCAUGUUGGGGGCGGCCAUGUUGUUUUUCCAGCUUAAAAUUCGAAAUAAUUUUGUUGUGAUUUUUUUUUUCUUAUCAAACAAAGUGACUAUUUUUAAUCUUACCAAAAGUCGGACCGUUUCCUAACUUUUUGGGUAAUUUUAUUUCAGUAUAUUUGGUCUAGAAGAGCUUUUAGUCUAAAGAAGGCAAGGUUGUUAAAGAACUAAAUUUGUCAUUGAAAUUCUCAAAAUGGUAACUUCCUCGAACUGCAGUCAGGGGGCCACGCAGUGUUGUUCCAGGAGCCACAAAUGGCCCUCAGGCCACACUUUUGUGCACCCCUGCCAUAAAGCAACAACACCACCACACCUCAUCAUCUAAUCAACCAAAUCUUUGA